UUUCCGUAGGUGAACCUGCGGAAGGAUCAUUAACGUAUCUCGGCGAGGUCCGAACCGCCCUGCUCCGGUCGAGAGGCCGUGCAGCGGGCGAUCGGCCGCGUCAGCCUUCACAAACCCCACCGUGCACUUUCACGGCGGAGGGCGGCUUUGGCGAGAGCCUGGCCGUCCGAAGCCGUUCCACAAACACCAGUAUCAACGAAUGAAGUGCGUCCACCGAGUCGCCUAAAAACAAAACAACUUUCAACAACGGAUCUCUUGGCUCUCGCAUCGAUGAAGAACGCAGC
RNAcentral lists this unclassified non-coding RNA (284 nucleotides) under uncultured fungus. RNAcentral describes it as "sequence contains ITS1, 5.8S rRNA gene". The stretch from base 236 to 284 matches the Rfam family "5.8S ribosomal RNA", at positions 1 to 49 of the family's 154-position model. Lineage: Eukaryota; Fungi. The record is from RNAcentral.